Molecule: unclassified non-coding RNA, 1714 nt
Filed under: Portunus trituberculatus (swimming crab)
Lineage: Eukaryota; Metazoa; Arthropoda; Malacostraca; Decapoda; Portunidae
Description: n-lysine methyltransferase KMT5A-A-like, transcript variant X3
Source: RNAcentral
ACGUUUAAAGCGAGUCUCUGAAAGUGUUUGAAUGGAGGACUAGUACUGGUCGAGACGCAUGCUGUUGACUGUGUUGUGGGAGUAUCCUGUCAUUUUGUAAUUGUAUGUCGCUCAGCAUUUGACCGAGUGUUUCAGUACAUGGUGAGCCACAUUUGCAUUCAGAGGAACAUCCGCCGUCGCUCCAGGUCACGUCGUAAAAUGGUGAAAGGAAAGAGAAGAACUAACCGCAACAGCAAAGAUGAAAAUGCCGUAAUUGGUCAGUUGGAUGGACCCAAGGGACCAAAAGACUCCAGGUUAGAGACAAGAAUAGUGAAUGGUUCCAUCGUAGGAAACAAGAUGUCUUCUGGAGCUACCCACACUGACAGCAAGAUUACCAACUAUUUUUCUCCCUCAAGAUCUCCUCCAGUUGCUGAUGAUGCAGAAACAGAAGGUGCCACUGUACUUGAAGGGGAGUGUGGGAAAGAUCCUGAGCUUAGCGAUGCCCAGCUCAGUCGCCCCCUCCCACCUUCUGGCUCCACCAUUCAAACCAAGGUUGUGGUCAUUAAUGGUCACAUUGGAACAGCACAAACUAAACCUCUGCCAAAUGCAGCUCCUAAGCGGACUGUUUGCACACGAAGCCAGGCACUAAAGGAAUUGCAGCUUCAGUCAUCCACUGCUGCUCUUAGUAAUGGUGUUAAAUCCUCCAACUCUUCAAGUAGUAACUUAUCCUCUCAAUGUUCUGUUAGUAUUGCCACACCCUCUGCCAGUUCUGAAAUGCCUACAACAGUGUCAACCCCCACCACUCCUACCUCAUCCACUUCACUGGCAACAGAUGAUUGCUCUAGCCCUCAUACAGGACCACCAACUCCCCACAAAAUCCAGGCCCUAAAUGAGGAAAAAUUACGGCUUGACUCACCACUUUCACCCACCUCAGCUCUUUCAAAACUCAAGUUGUCACUCACGCCAAAGAAACUUAAGUUCAAUGAUAAAACAACCAAGACAAGAAGAAAGCUUCCUACGCAAAAUGUUACCCGAGGAACUUCACAGCCCAAGACAGAAAAAGUAUCAAAAGUAAAUAGCCCAGCACAAAUGUCAAAUGGGGAAACUAAGCCCACUCAACGAAAUACUCAGAUGAGUGAAUUCUUUCCCAUACGUAGAUCAGAACGAAAGCCAAAGACAACACUUUUACAAGAACGUCAAAAGGAAAUUGAAGAAAGGAUAUGUAGUGGCAAAGAAGAAGGUUUGAUGGUAAAGCACUUUGGAGCCAAAGGACGUGGGGUGGUAACUACAAGGAAGUUCAAGAAGGGAGAAUUUGUUGUUGAGUAUAUUGGAGAUCUUAUUGAUGUAAGGGAAGCAAAAGAAAGAGAGUCAAGAUAUGCACAAGAUGCCACUAAAGGUUGCUACAACUAUUAUUUUACUUUCCAAAAUCAGCAAUAUUGAUAUUGGAGAGGGGAGAUGAUAGAAAUGGAGGUUUAAGACAAGGUAAAAGAAGGAAAAUGAAAGGAAAGAACAGGAGGAAGGAACAGGCAGAUGAUAGUAUUGAUGCCACAGCUGAGAGUGGAUUUUUAGGAAGGUUGGUGAAUCACAGCCGCAAUGGUAAUCUUGUUACAAAAGCAGUGGAAGUCAACGGCAGACCUCACUUAAUCCUUUUAGCAAAACAAGAUCUAGACCUUGGAACAGAGAUCCUUUAUGAUUAUGGAGAUCGCUCUAAAGAGGCCUUGGAACAUCAUCCAUG